UGAACAUAUCAUUUGCUGUUAAUUACAUCAAACGCAAGUUAUCAGAAUGAACUUUUUAAACGAGCCAACUAACAAAAAUCACUUUUUAUUUUUGUGUGUUUGAAGUUAAAAUUUUAAUUAACUGUUGAAUUGAACUGCAUCAAUUUCCUGCAGAAAACAAACACCGCUCACUAUCUUCAAUUUACAAUGAUGACUUGCAGCAAAAUUGCCCUCCAAUUUUGUGUGCUCUAUCCAAUUUUGCUAUUCACUCAAUGCAGUGAUAGAGUAAUAUAUGAUGUGUCUACUGAACCCCAAUGCACAGAAAUAACACAGAGCGCAACCGGGGAUUGCCGAUGGCACGCAGGUUUGGAUCGAACUGUGGAUCACAAAGUACUGGGAGGGAAGAUAGUGGCAUAUAAAAUCAGGUGGUUCAGCGGAGGCUGGUCUGGCUGGUAUGUGCCUGGCCUCCUAGAUAUGGACGGGAAGUUCAACCCGGCAGCCAGUCCAUGCUCUGUGCCUGUGAAAGCUAAUUCCAUGCGGCUUAUGUGGUCUUACUUCUACGACCAUACUCACUCUUAUAUUCUCUGUAAAUCUCGAGAAGUGCAAAACAACGAACUGUGAAAAUUAUGAACAGUUUAUGCUCAUAAAAUGGAAGAGCAAAACACUUUGUCGACUAAAACAAAUUUAUUAGUAUAUUACUGUUGAACGUUAAACCGUUACAAAACAAGUGGGGCUGAUUAAACUUUGUAUAAUACAGCUUUGAUUGAGUAUUUAACUGAAAUUGCGACUAACUUUUUGAA
Long non-coding RNA from Symsagittifera roscoffensis, 779 nucleotides. RefSeq lists it as uncharacterized. The transcript has 3 exons. The record is from RefSeq and is a predicted model, not a curated record. Lineage: Eukaryota; Metazoa; Xenacoelomorpha; Acoela; Convolutidae.